Molecule: ribosomal RNA, 253 nt
Filed under: uncultured bacterium
Lineage: Bacteria
Description: partial 16S ribosomal RNA
Rfam family: Bacterial small subunit ribosomal RNA
Source: RNAcentral
UACGUAGGGUGCAAGCGUUGCCCGGAUUUAUUGGGCGUAAAGGGCGCGUAGGCGGCUCGGCACGUCCGUUGUGAAAUCGCCCGGCUCAACUGGGCGGGGUCAGCGGAUACGGCCGAGCUUGAGCAAGCUAGGGGGCAAUGGAAUUCCCGGUGUAGUGGUGAAAUGCGUAGAUAUCGGGAGGAACACCAGUGGCGAAGGCGGCUUCCUGGCCUGUUCUUGACGCUGAGGCGCGAAAGCUAGGGGAGCAAACGGG